Long non-coding RNA from Talpa occidentalis (Iberian mole), 421 nucleotides. RefSeq lists it as uncharacterized. The record is from RefSeq and is a predicted model, not a curated record. Lineage: Eukaryota; Metazoa; Chordata; Mammalia; Eulipotyphla; Talpidae. The transcript has 4 exons.
GUUACUCCUGGGGCCUUUCAGGAUGUGAGAUCCAAGCAGCUCAAGAAUGCUCAACCAGGUUCAACCUUCCACCUGAUCACCAAGCUCAACUAAGUUUCUCCGGCACAGAUUGGAAUGGACACCCCAUGCAAGGGCACCCUCCCAGGGUCUAGAAAGAGCAGUUGUUGAGGAUUCUGGAGUGAGGAAAUGUUCAGCCCCACCUUCACUGGAACUGAAAUCAACUGGAAUUGACGUCAAAUUGGCAAAUUUGUCUCAAUCUGAUUUUCUCAUCCAUUUUCAAAUAAGUAUUUGAUCAAGAAAGACUGACAACUUAAAAGAAAACAUCAUUAGGAAAGGCAAACAAAUACAGGAAUUUUGAACAACCAUCGAAAGCAGAUUCAUUUAUUUAUACAUACAAGAGCUGGGGUACAGGCCAGAGCUG